CUGGGAUGUACUGUCCAACGAGCAGGUGGCAUGGCUGGUGCGGAGCUUCCUCCCUGGGAACCAAGAGGACCCACACAGGUUCUCAAAGCUGGCCCAGAUGCUGAUACACAGCACACAGGGAAAGGAAGACAGUCUCACAGAGGAAGGGCAGGUGUCCUACGAUGACGUCUCUGUGUUCGUGAUUCCCUUGCACAGUCAGGGCCAAGAGAGCAGUGACCACUGAGGAUUCAGACACUGUAUCCCAGAACUGCUCUAGUGCCCGGGUGUGGUCUGGGCAUCCCUCCAGUGUGACCAAGAGCAAAUCCUGCCUGCCCUAUCCCUAGCCACCGCCCAGUGCUCUCACUAUCCACCUCAACACACAUCCAUCUCAAGAGGAACAUUUAUACCAGGCAGUCAGAGCUGGAAGUGUAUGGAGAGCCCAGCCCACCAGGUCCUGCCUUUUGCGGUGAUAACCUUCUCUGGCAGAGUGACUUUACAACUUAACUAGGAAACCCAUGUGAGGCUCCUCAGACAGGAUCUUGAACAGCCCAAAGUAUCAUUCUCAGAUAGGGGCACCCAAGCUAAGGGUAUUAGCCAAAGAUGCCAGGAUGGGUAGCUAGCCCAUGUUUAGAUCCAGGUCUCCAAUUCAUGGUUAUCAGGGCAUGUGUUCAACAACCCCCAAAGUCCACGCAGGUGGCUUGUAGAAACCUUUGGGCAGCCUCAUGUCUGCUAAAACAGCCAUCUUCAAGACAGCCCCUGAAAAGAGACCAGUUCAGGUCCUGCCCUGCUGUUCUUUGCUGGAGAUGAGGAACAGGUGCUGGGGCUAAAGUUUGGGGUAGAGCACAAGGGACAAGAGGAACUCUUGGAGUUGGCUGGGUGAGAGGGCUCUCCAUUUGCUACCUGUAGUAGCCUGCCUCUUAACUGGUUGCUUCUCCCUAGUUCCAGCCCUGCCCUGGUCUGAUGCCCCAACACUGCCCUUGCUUUGUUUUCCCUGUCACCUCCCUAUUAUUAAAUGUUUUCUACAGAAG
RNAcentral lists this long non-coding RNA (1007 nucleotides) under Homo sapiens (human). RNAcentral describes it as "HSALNT0054644". The record is from RNAcentral. Lineage: Eukaryota; Metazoa; Chordata; Mammalia; Primates; Hominidae.